CCCUAUGAAUAAUUUAAAUGGCCGCAGUACUUUGACUGUGCAAAGGUAGCAUAAUCACUUGUCUUUUAAUUGAAGGCUGGAAUGAAAGAGGCGACGAGAAUUGGGCUCUUGGUUUAUAAUAUGAAAUUGACAUAAAGAUCAAAAGGUCUUCAUGGCUCAAAGGGACGAUAAGACCCUAUAAAACUUUACUAUAAUGCUAGUUAUAUAGGCAAACUUAAAUAUUUAUAGUUUAGCUGGGGCGGCUUUUAUAAAAACAAUUAUAAUAUAAAUAUAUUUAAUAAAGGUUUAGAACUCCUGUAGGAAAUGAGUAAGUUACUUUAGGGAUAACAGCAUAAUUCUCCCAGAGAGUCCUUAUUGGCGGGUGAGCUUAUGACCUCGAUGUUGAAUUGGGGUGUCUAAUAUAAGCAGAAGUAUAUUAAGAUAGUCUGUUCGACUAUUGAAUCCCC
RNAcentral lists this ribosomal RNA (446 nucleotides) under Proasellus cantabricus. RNAcentral's name for it is "partial 16S ribosomal RNA". It matches the Rfam family "Bacterial large subunit ribosomal RNA", at positions 1862 to 2597 of the family's 2925-position model. Lineage: Eukaryota; Metazoa; Arthropoda; Malacostraca; Isopoda; Asellidae. The record is from RNAcentral.